RNAcentral lists this ribosomal RNA (446 nucleotides) under Corynebacterium matruchotii. RNAcentral's name for it is "bacterial SSU rRNA". It matches the Rfam family "Bacterial small subunit ribosomal RNA", at positions 28 to 470 of the family's 1533-position model. Lineage: Bacteria; Bacillati; Actinomycetota; Actinomycetes; Mycobacteriales; Corynebacteriaceae. The record is from RNAcentral.
GACGAACGCUGGCGGCGUGCUUAACACAUGCAAGUCGAACGGAAAGGCCCCCACCUUGGUGGGGGUGCUCGAGUGGCGAACGGGUGAGUAACACGUGGGUGAUCUGCCCUGCACUUCGGGAUAAGCUUGGGAAACUGGGUCUAAUACCGGAUAGGACCAUGGUUUAGUGUCUCAUGGUGGAAAAAUUAUUGUUUUGGUGCAGGAUGAGCUCGCGGCCUAUCAGCUUGUUGGUGGGGUAAUGGCCUACCAAGGCGUCGACGGGUAGCCGGCCUGAGAGGGUGGACGGCCACAUUGGGACUGAGAUACGGCCCAGACUCCUACGGGAGGCGCAGUGGGGAAUAUUGCACAAUGGGCGCAAGCCUGAUGCAGCGACGCCGCGUGGGGGAUGACGGCCUUCGGGUUGUAAACUCCUUUCGUUAGGGACGAAGCCACACCUUUUUUGGGUG